AAAAUAAUUGUGCACACACACACACACACACACACAUACAUACAUACAUACAUGCAUACAUACAUUAGUGUGUGUGUGUGUGUGUGUGUGCCUA
Non-coding RNA from Brugia malayi, 94 nucleotides. NCBI's taxonomy places the organism in Eukaryota, Metazoa, Nematoda, Chromadorea, Rhabditida, Onchocercidae. The record is from RefSeq and is a predicted model, not a curated record.